RNAcentral lists this non-coding RNA (57 nucleotides) under uncultured marine Prymnesiales. The record is from RNAcentral. Lineage: Eukaryota; Haptophyta; Prymnesiales.
CAUGGGCAGAAAAUGGAAAUUUAGAUGAAAUAUAUAGUUGGUUAGAGAAUGGAGGUA